This 574-nucleotide small RNA is filed under the name Rattus norvegicus (Norway rat). Its description in RNAcentral is "uncharacterized LOC102554475". Lineage: Eukaryota; Metazoa; Chordata; Mammalia; Rodentia; Muridae. The record is from RNAcentral.
CCGGAAGCAGAGCGUUUGGAGACAGUUUCUGUGUUUAAGGCUUGGUUGCCAGCGAUGGUCUUUGAGUUCUUUGCUAAUGAAUGGCUGAAUCCCACAAUGGAUUCUUAACAUUAUUAAGACAUGGUGGAAAAUAGAACUAGGCCCUCAUUGGAGGUUAUUGAUCACAGAGCAUACCCUGGAAAGAACUGUUUAUGCUAAUGUCCAUAUGGGAAAUUCAAACUACAAAACCAGCCAUAGAAAUAAGGGAAAGAAGAAAAUUUGCAACAGGCUUGCUCCCCAGUCUUCCUCUAGCCUCCUCUCAGCUGCCCAGUCCCUGUUAUCUCCUCCAAUCAAUUCAGAUAAGUCACGCAGGGUAAGAGCGGUCAGAAGCCAGAGAGACCAUGCUCAGGGAUCCAACUCAGAUGAUCAGACUUGAAGGCGAGCUCCUUGCACACUGAACCAUCUCAUCAGCCCCAAAAGUGCUGUUUUGAAAACGGAAGUUCAACAGUCUGGGGGAUUGAAGGUGACCAACUGACCAACGGAGGGGCAAGGCAUUAGAGAUACAGUACAAUAAGUCUGUAUGGAAAUAAAUCAA